This 481-nucleotide ribosomal RNA is filed under the name uncultured soil bacterium. RNAcentral describes it as "bacterial SSU rRNA". It matches the Rfam family "Bacterial small subunit ribosomal RNA", at positions 26 to 506 of the family's 1533-position model. The record is from RNAcentral.
AGAUUGAACGCUGGCGGCAGGCCUAACACAUGCAAGUCGAGCGGCAGCACGGGUACUUGUACCUGGUGGCGAGCGGCGGACGGGUGAGUAAUGCCUAGGAAUCUGCCUGGUAGUGGGGGAUAACGCUCGGAAACGGACGCUAAUACCGCAUACGUCCUACGGGAGAAAGCAGGGGACCUUCGGGCCUUGCGCUAUCAGAUGAGCCUAGGUCGAUUAGCUAGUUGGUGAGGUAAUGGCUCACCAAGGCGACGAUCCGUAACUGGUCUGAGAGGAUGAUCAGUCACACUGGAACUGAGACACGGUCCAGACUCUACGGGAGCAGCAGUGGGAAUAUUGGACAAUGGGCGAAAGCCUGAUCCAGCCAUGCCGCGUGUGUGAAGAAGGUCUUCGGAUUGUAAAGCAACUUUAAGUUGGAGGAAGGCAAGUAAAUUAAUACUUUGCUUGUUUGACGUUACGACAGAAUAAGCACCGCUAACUCUGU